RNAcentral lists this ribosomal RNA (254 nucleotides) under uncultured Lactobacillus sp. Its description in RNAcentral is "partial 16S ribosomal RNA". It matches the Rfam family "Bacterial small subunit ribosomal RNA", at positions 109 to 354 of the family's 1533-position model. Lineage: Bacteria; Bacillati; Bacillota; Bacilli; Lactobacillales; Lactobacillaceae. The record is from RNAcentral.
AGUAACACGUGGGGAACCUGCCCCUAAGUCUGGGAUACCAUUUGGAAACAGGUGCUAAUACCGGAUAAUAAAGCAGAUCGCAUGAUCAGCUUUUGAAAGGCGGCGUAGGCUGUCGCUAAGGGAUGGCCCCGCGGUGCAUUAGCUAGUUGGUAAGGUAACGGCUUACCAAGGCGACGAUGCAUAGCCGAGUUGAGAGACUGAUCGGCCACAUUGGGACUGAGACACGGCCCAAACUCCUACGGGAGGCAGCAGAG